GAAAGGAUAAGAGGAGAGAAAGAGAGCGCGGCUCUCAGAAGCUGUCUUCACCGCGGAGCCACCACAAGCACGCAGCCAGGCGCAGGUCGCUUCCUACCUGUCCAACUGUCUGGUCGCCGCCACCGGAGGGAGAUCAGAUGUUACUUUGUCCGCUGCAGCGCGUUGGCCGUGGCCACUGCGUCUCCACCAUGAUGCAUUGUUUUAGAUGAAGUUGCCCCGAGUCGUAUCCUGGUUCAGGGAGCAGGCGGCGGCGGUGAAGGAAGGCUUCACGUGUGGUGCAAGAUUUGUGUUACUGGAGAUGAGGCUGCUGAGUUUUCAGUGUGGUGGAGCAGAUCUUCAGGGAUUGGCACAUGGUGGCACCAUAUUCAUAAACAAUCCCCACAUGUUAAUGUAUUUUGCAUAGAAGUGUGUUUUUUGGCUUUAAGAAUUAAUAAUAUAUAAAUAUAU
Molecule: long non-coding RNA, 447 nt
Organism: Mugil cephalus (flathead mullet)
Lineage: Eukaryota; Metazoa; Chordata; Actinopteri; Mugiliformes; Mugilidae
Exons: 3
Source: RefSeq, a predicted model, not a curated record